GCUUGCUUCUCUUGAGAGCGGCGGACGGGUGAGUAAUGCCUAGGAAUCUGCCUGGUAGUGGGGGAUAACGUUCGGAAACGGACGCUAAUACCGCAUACGUCCUACGGGAGAAAGCAGGGGACCUUCGGGCCUUGCGCUAUCAGAUGAGCCUAGGUCGGAUUAGCUAGUUGGUGGGGUAAUGGCUCACCAAGGCGACGAUCCGUAACUGGUCUGAGAGGAUGAUCAGUCACACUGGAACUGAGACACGGUCCAGACUCCUACGGGAGGCAGCAGUGGGGAAUAUUGGACAAUGGGCGAAAGCCUGAUCCAGCCAUGCCGCGUGUGUGAAGAAGGUCUUCGGAUUGUAAAGCACUUUAAGUUGGGAGGAAGGGUUGUAGAUUAAUACUCUGCAAUUUUGACGUUACCGACAGAAUAAGCACCGGCUAACUCUGUGCCAGCAGCCGCGGUAAUACAGAGGGUGCAAGCGUUAAUCGGAAUUACUGGGCGUAAAGCGCGCGUAGGUGGUUUGUUAAGUUGGAUGUGAAAUCCCCGGGCUCAACCUGGGAACUGCAUUCAAAACUGACUGACUAGAGUAUGGUAGAGGGUGGUGGAAUUUCCUGUGUAGCGGUGAAAUGCGUAGAUAUAGGAAGGAACACCAGUGGCGAAGGCGACCACCUGGACUAAUACUGACACUGAGGUGCGAAAGCGUGGGGAGCAAACAGGA
RNAcentral lists this ribosomal RNA (703 nucleotides) under uncultured bacterium. RNAcentral describes it as "bacterial SSU rRNA". It matches the Rfam family "Bacterial small subunit ribosomal RNA", at positions 78 to 777 of the family's 1533-position model. The record is from RNAcentral.